Molecule: ribosomal RNA, 425 nt
Filed under: uncultured bacterium
Lineage: Bacteria
Description: partial 16S ribosomal RNA
Rfam family: Bacterial small subunit ribosomal RNA
Source: RNAcentral
GUGGGGAAUCUUGCGCAAUGGGCGAAAGCCUGACGCAGCCAUGCCGCGUGAAUGAUGAAGGUCUUAGGAUUGUAAAAUUCUUUCACCGGGGACGAUAAUGACGGUACCCGGAGAAGAAGCCCCGGCUAACUUCGUGCCAGCAGCCGCGGUAAUACGAAGGGGGCUAGCGUUGUUCGGAAUUACUGGUCGUACAGGGCGCGUAGGCGGACAGUUUAGUCAGAGGUGAAAGCCCAGGGCUCAACCUUGGAAUUGCCUUUGAUACUGGCUGUCUUGAGUACGGGUGAGGUGAGUGGAACUCCGAGUGUAGAGGUGAAAUUCGUAGAUAUUCGGAAGAACACCAGUGGCGAAGGCGACUCACUGGCCCAAUACUGACGCUGAGGCGCGAAAGCGUGGGGAGCAAACAGGAUUAGAAACCCCAGUAGUCC